Molecule: ribosomal RNA, 443 nt
Filed under: uncultured bacterium
Lineage: Bacteria
Description: partial 16S ribosomal RNA
Rfam family: Bacterial small subunit ribosomal RNA
Source: RNAcentral
CCUACGGGUGGCAGCAGUGGGGAAUAUUGCACAAUGGGGGGAACCCUGAUGCAGCAAUGCCGCGUGAAGGAUGAAGGUUUUCGGAUUGUAAACUUCUUUUGUACGGGACGAAGAAAGUGACGGUACCGUAAGAAUAAGCCACGGCUAACUACGUGCCAGCAGCCGCGGUAAUACGUAGGUGGCAAGCGUUAUCCGGAUUUACUGGGUGUAAAGGGCGAGUAGGCGGGAUUGCAAGUCAGAUGUGAAAACUAUGGGCUCAACCGAUAGAGUGCAUUUGAAACUGCAGUUCUUGAGUGAUGGAGAGGCAGGCGGAAUUCCUAGUGUAGCGGUGAAAUGCGUAGAUAUUAGGAGGAACACCAGUGGCGAAGGCGGCUCACUGGACUGUAACUGACGUUGAGGCUCGAAAGCGUGGGGAGCAAACAGGAUUAGAUACCCGUGUAGUC